UGAACCUGCGGAGGGAUCAUUAAAAUAGGCCGAUAAGAAGGCACUCUCCCCUCGGGGAGAGGGCGGGCCGUAUCCCACACCCUUUGUGAACCACAACUCUGUUGCUUCGGGGGCGACCCUGCCGUCAGGCGGCGGUGCCCCCGGUGGCCUUCAACUAAACUCUGCAUCUUUUGCGUCGGAGUCUUUUAAAGAAUUAAACAAAACUUUCAACAACGGAUCUCUUGGUUCUGGCAUCGAUGAAGAACGCAGCGAAAUGCGAUAAGUAAUGUGAAUUGCAGAAUUCAGUGAAUCAUCGAAUCUUUGAACGCACAUUGCGCCCCGUGGUAUUCCGCGGGGCAUGCCUGUUCGAGCGUCAUUUCACCACUCAAGCCUAGCUUGGUAUUGGGCGCCGCGGCGAUCUCCAUCGCUGCGCGCCUUAAAGUCUCCGGCUGAGCAGUCUGUCUCCGAGCGUUGUGACACAUGUCGCUAGGGAGUGCAGGUCUGCCGCGGCCGUUAAAUCUUUAUUC
RNAcentral lists this small RNA (506 nucleotides) under Mycosphaerella sp. 1 MS-2015. RNAcentral's name for it is "eukaryotic LSU rRNA". The stretch from base 202 to 355 matches the Rfam family "5.8S ribosomal RNA". The record is from RNAcentral. Lineage: Eukaryota; Fungi; Ascomycota; Dothideomycetes; Mycosphaerellales; Mycosphaerellaceae.